CUUUUCUCGGAGGUGGAGCACUUUCAGCUAGGUUCAGACGGAACAAGAAAGCAAGGAAGUUUUUACUGACAGAGAGAGUUCUCAGUGAUUUGCAAGAGUGGAAGCGUGAAUAUUUUAAACUUUGUCUUUCAGAUCAAGCUCAAGAAUAUUCAAUUCAGGGCCAGGGAUAUAGCUCAGCGGCACCGCACCUGUCUGGCAAGAGCAAGGUCCCAAGUUCAACCCCAGUACCCAGGUCCUCACUCUAAGCAUCUGA
Molecule: long non-coding RNA, 253 nt
Filed under: Fukomys damarensis (Damara mole-rat)
Lineage: Eukaryota; Metazoa; Chordata; Mammalia; Rodentia; Bathyergidae
Description: lncRNA (ENSFDAG00000030569.1)
Source: RNAcentral